Monomorium pharaonis (pharaoh ant) is the source of this 3031-nucleotide long non-coding RNA. RefSeq lists it as uncharacterized. Lineage: Eukaryota; Metazoa; Arthropoda; Insecta; Hymenoptera; Formicidae. The record is from RefSeq and is a predicted model, not a curated record. The transcript is spliced from 2 exons.
AACGAAGUUAUUAACAACGAAUUUAAUAAAAGAAUGAAUUAAAUGAAAAAUUAAAUAUAUUAUGUAAGGCCUUAAUGAUAAAAUCAACUAAUAGAAAACCAGGCAAAUGAGCCAAUAUUGGAUGUUGUAUUCAAUGUAUUAUAUAAAUGACUUUAACAAAUAAACGUUUCAAUCUGUCAUCAGCUUAUUAUCAACAUUAAAAUACAAACAUAAAGCAUGGAUAAUUAAUGUAACAAUUAAAGUUGGGACAAAGUAGACAUGUAAUAAUUUUCUUUUAAUAAUAGUUAAAAUGAAUGGUAUAAUUAGCAAACAUCCAUAGAUAACGUUCAGUAAUGGAUGUUAAAGUUUAAAAAACAUGGGUGCCAAAGAUGGUAAAAUUUGUUUGUUAUGCAUUCUAUUCUUUGUGAUGUGAAAAUGGACUAUAAAUAUGACCAAUGUCUUAGUAUUAUGUAUGUAUUGAUGUAAUAAAUUAUAAAAUAAGAUAGAGAAACACUUAAUUAAAAUUAAUGCUUGAUUGUGCUGUAGUUAAAACGUAUGUUUAAUAGGUGGAAAGUGAACGUAUUUAACUACGAUUUAAAUAAGAAACAAAUUUGGUUCUUAGAGUCAAAACAUGAGUGAUGAGUGUUGUGAGAAAAUAAGUAAAAGCAAGGAGAUAAAGAAGAAGGGGGGGAUAAAGUAGGGAACAAAAUAGGGAAGGAAUGGACAAGACUUAAGAAUAAAACAAAAGAGUAAAAAUUUCAACAGCUGAUCAGAGUAAAGGCUAUAAUUGCAAUAAUGUCUAAGAUCUGUAAAUAUGAUUUUAGUAGAAAUUCUAUAUCAUUUUACAUAUUUAAGCUCAUUUUUUGCUGUUUGAUUUGUAACAUCUCGGAAAUGAAUCUUUUUAGCUAAGACUUGUUUGUCUAAAAUUUUGACAUGUCCAGUAAAACUUAUGAGACAGUUCUAAUCUAUGAUUAGAGAUAAUUAAUGGUGAACCACAUUUUUUAUUAAUAUCUUUUUAUGUUCUUUAAUUUUGAUGAUUAAUUUUUCCUUUGUUUGGCCCACAUAGUCUAGUAGAAUUACUUUUUUGGGGAAAAAAUUUGUGACUCACACUUGAUUGCAUAAAGUACAAUAAAUGUGCAUAGAUUAAGAUAAGUACGUUUGCCAUUUGCAAAAAGUUGGGGGUUAUUACAAAAUUAUGAGUUGAAGUGAGGAAAAAGCAGUUUUUUGCUUGUGACUCGUAAACAAAAAAUGGAAUCCAAAAAAGUUUUAAAUAAAAAUUGUAGGUAUUAACUAUUAACGCCCAAGCGCAUUUUUUAUAUAAUUUUCAGCGACUUUAUUUGCAACAUUAAAGGUCUAUAAAAAAUUUAAAAAGUAUCAAUUUUUACGGAAAAUUUUAUGAUCGAUUAGAAUCCGUCGUCAAAACUUGCGUGAAAAAUAGUCCAAAAAAGUUAUGGCGGGCUUUAAGUAAAAAAAAUACAAAAAAAUUGUGAAAAAUAAAAAAAAAAUUUUUUUUACAUUGAAAUAGUAUGAAAUUCCAAUCCCUUUCGCAACCAUCAGUGCACAAAAUAUUUGUACUUUAAGGAUACAUUUUUAAAAUUUGUUAAAAUUGUCAUUUUCAUUGAAAAAUGGCGGCUAAAUUGGAAAAAUUUACGAAUUAUCGUAUUUUUUCCACAAUUAUUCAUAAAUUACGGACAAAAUUAACGGCUUAUUAUUACUGAAAAUGGGAUUGAUAUUCACAGUUCAUUUUUGAUCAAAUACACAAUUUUUAAGAUGGUGGAUUCAAUAUUGCGACCAAAAAGGUGUAAUCGUCGAUUUUUCUACAUUUUUCCUAAAUUUCUUCAAGAAUUCUUUCUCAAAAACUGUUUUAUGCACGGACUAUUAUUUAUGAAUUUAUUAGUAUACAUCAAUGGACAAAUUUAUAAAAUUAUCAGGCAGUAAAUUUAAAAUAGUAGAAAUUGUUGGUUACUAACUUUUAUUGCUGUUAUAUAUAAUCAGAUAUUUUCCUUGGUUUUUAUAAUUUAAUAAUUGAGUAACUAAAUAAAAAUCAUAACCUUUAUAAAAUAUUAUAUAUAUAAAAUGCAUAUUUCUAGUUUUGUAAAUUAUUGAAAAAAAUUGUUAUCGAGUGUCGCUAAUUCUACCAUAAUUUGAUAUUUUUCUUUAAUGUUUAUUAUUUUUGUGAUUUACAAUACAUUAUUCUCACCAGGCCUCUAGCACUCGCUUAUAUUUUCAAGCAAAAAUGUGACCUCCUUAUUGUCCGAGAUCCGCUAGGGGCGCUGGUAGUAACAUAGCCCUCUAACCUAUUGCAGCGUGGUGCAACGCGUGAACACACGCAAGUGAUAAAUAGUGAUAGCAAGUGAUAGUGAUAAAUAUAUCUUGAUAAAUAGUGAACGUUUACAGAAACUAGUAAAACGAGAAGCAUGCCACAUUGCAUAGCUCCGGGAUGUACUUCCGGAUAUAAAUCGAAUUCAGAGAAAGUACAUUUUUUUAUUGUGCCAAAGGACGAAAAUAUAAGAAAAUUAUGGCAAGAUGCAAUUUGAAGAAAAAACUAUAGUGCGGGCAGGACAAUCUCUGUGUGAAAAACAUUUUAUGGCCCAAGAUAUAUUGUGGAAGCGUGAACUAACAGGUCCUGAUGGACAAAUACUCGGCGUUUCAUAUUAUAAAUAACCAAGGUUGCGGAAAGGCACCGUAUCGUCACAAUUUUCAUGGACAGAAAUUACUGUGGAUAAUACACUACUUCACAAACAGACACAAAUGGUACAUGAAAUAGUACAACAGUGCAAAGAAGAAAAUGCACAAGAAACAGUAUAAAUAAGCCUAAAUUCUCAUUUAUAGAUUUGAUAGCUUGUACUACAUUACAAUUACCAGUAAAUUGGUCUAGAUGUACUUUCAUCUGUAAUGGAACUAAAAUUGAAUCAUUUGUCAUGGUACUAAUGUAUAAAAAUAGAAAACAGUUUUGUCACUAAAAAUAUCAAAGAACUUAUUGUACAAGAAAACUUAUAUCUAACUAAUAAACUUAUAUCUAACUUAUAUCUACACUAUUUAUACAUUUGUA